Lycium barbarum (goji berry) is the source of this 712-nucleotide long non-coding RNA. RefSeq lists it as uncharacterized. The record is from RefSeq and is a predicted model, not a curated record. The transcript has 3 exons. Lineage: Eukaryota; Viridiplantae; Streptophyta; Magnoliopsida; Solanales; Solanaceae.
AGUGCCUUUUUAUUUGAGAGUUCACCGCCUCAUCAAGGCCAUAUACGGACAACCUUCCAUGAGACACUAAAAACAUUUUCUUCAAUAUUAAGAUGGGUGUAGCGUUUUUGCUCUAGCUAUUGGCAGCCAAGAUUUCUCUCCUCUUCUUCAAGAGCUUCAAAGCAAGGUGAACCGUACUCUAUAAUGAAGUAAAAUAUCGGGGAAGCUUUUACGAAGGUGACCCAAGUAUGAUCCUUAGUCUGCGACCUUCUACGAGCUCGUAUGAGCAAUAAAAGAUUUUGGAGGAAACGGGACUUGAAUUUGGAUAGGCGUAAAAGGCAAAUAAGGUGCAGACGCACAGUUUGGUGAUCCAGCCGUUUAGGACACCUUCUUCUGAUGUUUGGAGUGCUCCUCUUAUUCCGGAGCCUGCAUUUUGGUAUAUAUCUUCGUUCGCUACAUAUGUAUGUACUUGUUCAGGGGUACGGUGGGGCCCUGUCCCUCCAUAUGAUUCGGUUGGUCUGUUUAGAGGUCUGUAGACGUAUAUGUGGGUUGUGCCUACUUCUGUAUAGGUGUGUUUGUAUGAUCCCACUCGCCAUGGCAGCCUUGUUGGCGUGCGUUUGUAUAUGUUUUGGGCCGUUGCGCCAUUUGAUAGCCUUGUCGGCUUCUGAUAUAUAUGUACAUAUAUGGUUGUGUUUGAAAUGUGUCUGAGACAGUUUGAUAUAAUUUGAGGCAG